ACAAAAGCUGAGAAGAUGUCAGUAGGCAGAUGAUCGGAUUACAGAGAGAAUGUAUGUUGGCUGAGAGUACAUUUAAGGAAAGACAUUUGCUGAAUUUCCCAUCGGAGCUGCUGUUUUGAACAGGGAAUGUACGGUUUGCAAUGCCGUACGGGUCCAGUAGAGACAGACGGGUCAUGCACGUUAUGCAUCAGAGUGUCCGAUGUAUGUCGGAAAGUCGGGUGGUACCGCGGAAUUAUUUCGUCCCUUUC
This 248-nucleotide non-coding RNA is filed under the name Roseburia sp. RNAcentral describes it as "T-box sequence". It matches the Rfam family "T-box leader". Rfam says of the family: Uncharged tRNA acts as the effector for transcription antitermination of genes in the T-box leader family. T-boxes are found upstream of many aminoacyl-tRNA synthetase genes and some amino acid biosynthetic genes usually in Gram-positive bacteria. The record is from RNAcentral. Lineage: Bacteria; Bacillati; Bacillota; Clostridia; Lachnospirales; Lachnospiraceae.